Non-coding RNA from Arachis ipaensis, 1146 nucleotides. NCBI's taxonomy places the organism in Eukaryota, Viridiplantae, Streptophyta, Magnoliopsida, Fabales, Fabaceae. The record is from RefSeq and is a predicted model, not a curated record.
AAACUCGCGAGUUAACUCGUAAACUCGUACGAGUUUACGAGUUUAGGUAGUGGAAUCGAGUUGACUCAGACACAAACUCGUUUCUGGGUAGACUCGGCUAGACUCGGACAGAAUCGUUCAAACUCGCGAGUUUGCUAGCGAGUCAGCGAGUUUGAAUUCGGUGCCCAUUUUCGCCAAAACGGCGUCGCUUUGGGCCCGAAAAAAAAAAAACCUACAGCUAACCACUAACCCACCCAGACCCGGUAAGAGUGUAAGUGUGUAACCCUAAUUUCGAAACCCUCACACUCCACCAACACCAAGCCAUCAGCCCAUCACUGCUCACUGCCUCGCCCUCACUCUCUUCUUCUUCUCCAAUGUCGGUGAAUCACCACCAUCUAUCGGCACCGUCGUCUGCGCCGCCACGCAGAGGCCGAACGCCGGACGGAUCCUCAUCCCUUGCCUGUCGCCUCGCCUUAUCCCUCAUCUCUCAUCCAAUGCAGAGUCGCAGAGCUAGAGCCCACCAGCCACCACCACGCAGUGAAGGUUCCUCACUUCCUCGUCGACACCAGCCCACCACCACGCAGAGGCCACGCAGAGUCGCAGAGCCCACCACCACGCAGUGAAGGUUCACCGCCCCUGUUCUACCAUCGUCGGCCGUCGCACUCCUCCCUGUUCUGCUUCACUGCGUUUGCCUCACCUCCUCUGUUCAUUGCCAUUGUUCUUCACUGCCGAUCUGCUUCAAUUCUGCCCUGUUCUCCAAGGUUGCAAUGACACAUCCAAUGGCUGUAACUAACUGCAACAUCGACAUGAAAAGUUUAAUUUCUGACCAGAACAGAAGCAUUGCUACACUUGCUAUUACCACUCUUUUAAAGACAGGAAAUGAAUCAAGUGUAGAAGGUCUUAUGAAGCAGAUUACAAAUUUCAUGUCUGAUAUUGCUGAUGAAUUCAAAAUUGUUGUUGUAGAAGCAAUAAGAUCAUUGUGCUUAAAGUUCCCUUUAAAAAAAUUGUUUUCUUUUGUGUUUUGGUUGUGUCUUAUGAAGCUUUGAUUGUGUGAUUGUGUGUUUUAUGUUGAACUAGAUACAUACUUGUGAAGGAUUUAAAUGUGUGAUCUAGAGUACUUGUUGUAACUUGUAAUUGUAGUAUUAUGUUAAUUUAUAUGUUUUGAUG